GUGAAUCAUCAAAUUUUUGAACGCAAAUUGCACUCUCUGGUAUUCCGGAGAGUAUGCCUGUUUGAGGGUCAGUUUAUAUAAAAAUCGGUGUGGUUGCUGCCUUUCGUGGUGCUGCGCCGGAUUUGGGUCGUCUUGCCUUCGGUUAAGUGACUUAGAAUUUUGCAUGAUUUUUUUAGAACGUAUUUAAAUGAUUUUACGUACGUUUGUGUUAUCGUAUGCUAGGGGUGGUGAUCAUUAUGAUUCGC
Molecule: unclassified non-coding RNA, 245 nt
Filed under: Glomus sp.
Lineage: Eukaryota; Fungi; Glomeromycota; Glomeromycetes; Glomerales; Glomeraceae
Description: partial contains 5.8S ribosomal RNA and internal transcribed spacer 2
Rfam family: 5.8S ribosomal RNA (bases 1-71)
Source: RNAcentral